AUGGUAAAGCUGAGCAAAGAGACCAAGCAGAGGCUGCCACAGCUCUUCAAAAGCAGCCAGUUUGUCAUUUGCUGGAGCUUUAUUCCUCUUGUGAUUUACCUGGGAUUUAAGAGUGGUACAGAUCCUAGAAUGCCUGAACCAACUGUUUUGGGUCUACUUUGGGGAUAAAGGACUAUUGAUCAUAUGGAUUUGGAAGCAAUCAGUAAACAGAAGAAACAGCAUGGAAAGUGUGUGCUCUGGCUCUGUAAGAGAUGGGACAUCAUU
Carlito syrichta (Philippine tarsier) is the source of this 264-nucleotide RNA transcript. It is a transcript of the gene named mitochondrial import receptor subunit TOM7 homolog pseudogene, with no coding region annotated. Lineage: Eukaryota; Metazoa; Chordata; Mammalia; Primates; Tarsiidae. The record is from RefSeq and is a predicted model, not a curated record. The transcript has a single exon.